Long non-coding RNA from Lynx canadensis (Canada lynx), 166 nucleotides. RefSeq lists it as uncharacterized. The record is from RefSeq and is a predicted model, not a curated record. The transcript is spliced from 3 exons. Lineage: Eukaryota; Metazoa; Chordata; Mammalia; Carnivora; Felidae.
UCUUGAAGUUAAUCAGAGAAAUAUUCAUGCACCUGUAAAGGGAAAAACUUAAAAUGGAUAUGAGAAGUGAAGAAAGUGAUCAUAGGAGAAAAUCAUCUCAGAAUUCCUGAGAACAUUUGAUGUGCCAGCCAUUGUGCCGGGACAGGAACACAGCAAUGAAUGAAAG